AAAGCCACGGCUAAUUACGUGCCAGCAGCCGCGGUAAUAAGUAGGUGGCAAGCGUUGUCCGGAUUUAUUGGGCGUAAAGCGAGCGCGGGCGGUUUUUUAAGUCUGAUGUGAAAGCCCCCGGCUCAACCGGGGAGGGUCAUCGGAAACUGGGAGACUUGAGUGCAGAAGAGGAGAGUGGAAUUCCAUGUGUAGCGGUGAAAUGCGUAGAUAUAUGGAGGAACACCAGUGGCGAAGGCGGCUCUCUGGUCUGUAACUGACGCUGAGGCUCGAAAGCGUGGGGAGCGAACAGGAUUAGAUACCCUGGUAGUCCACGCCGUAAACGAUGAGUGCUAAGUGUUGGAGGGUUUCCGCCCUUCAGUGCUGCAGCAAACGCAUUAAGCACUCCGCCUGGGGAGUACGACCGCAAGGUUGAAACUCAAAGGAAUUGACGGGGGCCCGCACAAGCGGUGGAGCAUGUGGUUUAAUUCGAAGCAACGCGAAGAACCUUACCAGGUCUUGACAUCCUUUGACCACUCUAGAGAUAGAGCUUCCCCUUCGGGGGCAAAGUGACAGGUGGUGCAUGGUUGUCGUCAGCUCGUGUCGUGAGAUGUUGGGUUAAGUCCCGCAACGAGCGCAACCCUUAUUGUUAGUUGCCAUCAUUUAGUUGGGCACUCUAGCGAGACUGCCGGUGACAAACCGGAGGAAGGUGGGGAGGACGUCAAAUCAUCAUGCCCCUUAUGACCUGGGCUACACACGUGUUACAAUGGGAAGUACAACGAGUUGGGAAGUCGCGAGGUUAAGCUAAUUUCUUAAAGAUUCUCUCAGUUCGGAUUGUAGGCUGCA
RNAcentral lists this ribosomal RNA (822 nucleotides) under Enterococcus casseliflavus. Its description in RNAcentral is "bacterial SSU rRNA". It matches the Rfam family "Bacterial small subunit ribosomal RNA", at positions 487 to 1309 of the family's 1533-position model. Lineage: Bacteria; Bacillati; Bacillota; Bacilli; Lactobacillales; Enterococcaceae. The record is from RNAcentral.